Molecule: ribosomal RNA, 328 nt
Filed under: uncultured eukaryote
Lineage: Eukaryota
Description: partial 18S ribosomal RNA
Rfam family: Eukaryotic small subunit ribosomal RNA
Source: RNAcentral
CCCUUAGAUGUCCUGGGCCGCACGCGCGUUACACUGAUGCAUUCAACGAGCUUAUAACCUUCGCCGAGAGGCCUGGGCAAUCUUGUUAACGUGCAUCGUGAUAGGGAUAGAUUAUUGAAAUUAUUAAUCUUGAACGAGGAAUUCCUAGUAAACGCAGAUCAUCAAUCUGCAUUGAUUACGUCCCUGCCCUUUGGACACACCGCCCGUCGCACCUACCGAUUGGAUGGUCCGGUGAAGCCUCGGGAUUGUGGUUCUUGCCGCUUUAUUGUGGCGUGACCGCGAGAACUUGUCUAAACCUUAUCAUCUAGAGGAAGGUGAAGUCGUAACA